CCCCCCCCCCCCCCCGUCCCGCCACUUCACGCACUGCGAGGCUCUCGGGACUUCCUGUCUCCGGCCUCAGCACCCCCUGCCUGGGAGCUGCCAGAUGGGAAAAGGCUCCGGCGAGGGAAUGGGGGAGGGGCUGUGGCCGGAGGCGGGCAGCGGCCCUGUGGACCCUCACCUGGGCGGUCUGCUCCCCCUGCCUGCUCGCCCACCCGGGCUUGUUCUAGCGUAUGCAUAGAUCAUGCUGUCUGUCCUCCUGAUCCCUGAGCCCCAGUGGCUCCCUAGUACCCACAGGACCGAAGGGGACGCCUUCAGCCCAGCCCAGCCUGGCCCCUUCCUGCCCAGACCACGGAGGACUAGCUUGCAACCCAGACUUGUCAGAACAGCCCGGGGCCAGCCUGUGCUCAGCUCCCAGACACAGACCCCGCCCCGGGGCCAAAGGCAUUGCCUUCAGGGGCUUCAUAGACACCCAGCUCCGCUUGCAUCCCUCCCAAGCCCCCUUCCCAAAUGUGGGAGACUUCUUAGGAGACUUCUUUCCCAACAGGAAGGAAGCAAAUGAGCUUCCUGGUCAUCUUCCGCCCGGAAAGCCCCUCCAGAGGGGACUCAUGUCACCCCAAACAUUCCAUUUCCCACCUCCGCGCCUUUGGCCCCACUGGAAGUUCUCCCUCCCCAGCUUCCUUCUGGACUCACAGUGAGCUGUCAGACUAACAAGUGAUCUGUAGAAUAAUAACCCUCUGUACGUGCAUGUGCAUAUAUCUAUUCAGAGAGGGAGACCGCAGGAUCAUCACUUCCAUUUCAGAGGAAGAGCCCUGAGAGACACUGACUAAGGCCUCAUUUCACAGAGCAGGAAACUGAACCGAAAAGAGGUAUUAUUUAGGGAUCUCAGAUUUCCAUCCAAUUAGAACUCUUCUCUCUGACAAACCAGUUCUGGAUUCCGUAGAGGCUGACGGAGCAAAGGGAACCCCCUUAAAGAAGUCAGAACGCCCAUUUCCAUGACGUUGUCUGGUUGCCAGUGGACUUGAAAGUGGUUUCUGAGACAUCAUCAGACACGGGCGCAUACACAGAACUAGCAUGGAAUUCCAAGAAGUGGGAAUAGCGCCACAGACUAAAUUAUGGAGCUUUUUGUCUGAGAUGAAAUUCAAACCAAGCCCGA
Monodelphis domestica (gray short-tailed opossum) is the source of this 1144-nucleotide long non-coding RNA. RefSeq lists it as uncharacterized. NCBI's taxonomy places the organism in Eukaryota, Metazoa, Chordata, Mammalia, Didelphimorphia, Didelphidae. The record is from RefSeq and is a predicted model, not a curated record.